CACUGGUCUACAAGGCCAGAGCUUUCUGGAAGGGGGCACCCUUGCCCUGUUGGAUGAAUAGGCACCUCUGGAAGAGCCAACUGUGUGAGAUGGUGCAGCCCAGUGGUGGCCCGGCAGCAGAUCAGGACGUACUGGGCGAAGAGUCUCCUCUGGGGAAGCCAGCCAUGCUGCACCUGCCUUCAGAACAGGGCGCUCCUGAGACCCUCCAGCGCUGCCUGGAGGAGAAUCAAGAGCUCCGAGGUGAGGAAAGAGUCAGGGUAUCCAGCCCUGCUGAGGGGAAGGCGUCUUCUCCCCACCUGCACCUCUGCGUUUCCUGGGCCUGGGGUGGGGAUGUGCUGCCCUCCCUCUUGGUUUCAGGAAGUAGACUCUGAGAUGCAGAUUAGCGGGGAGGAAGUUUAGCGUGCUCUCAGGACCAGUACUGGGAAGGGAAAGGAGGGACAGGGGAAGAAGCCGGGGAGGGCAGAGGGAGAAGCACGCUGCCGGGUAGGCUCCAGGACAGCCUUGCUGGACCUUACAGGGAGCUCUGGAGCUGGAAUGAACCUUCCAGGUUGGACCAACAUGUCCAGGCCUCUGUGUCCCUGCACUGAGCACUUAUGAAGUGCUGUCCAUCCUGGGACAGGGCAGAGUCGGCCCUGGGAAGAGGCGUGGUCUGCCCAGAGAGGGGGUGGGGUCUGUCCUGGAAAUGGGCGGGGCAUGCCCUGGUAGAGGGGCGUGGUCUGUCUUGGGAAGGAAGGGGCGUGGUCUGUCUUGGGAAGGAAGGUGCGUGGCCCCCACAGGCAACAUUCCUCUGGGGCAAUCCCGGCGCACACCUCAGCGGAGGUGAAGGCUGACUUCCCACACCCAGUGGCUGGGACUGGGGAGUUCUUUCCUAGACUGCCAUCCGGGCGCCCCUCACCCUCUUGCUGCUCAGCUCCAGGUCGUCGUGGGUUCAGGGCUCAGCUGCACGC
RNAcentral lists this long non-coding RNA (947 nucleotides) under Pan troglodytes (chimpanzee). RNAcentral describes it as "long non-coding RNA NONPTRT018401". Lineage: Eukaryota; Metazoa; Chordata; Mammalia; Primates; Hominidae. The record is from RNAcentral.